UAACGGCCACCAAGGCGACGAUCAGUAGCCGGCCUGAGAGGGUGAACGGCCACAUUGGGACUGAGACACGGCCCAAACUCCUACGGGAGGCAGCAUG
This 97-nucleotide ribosomal RNA is filed under the name uncultured bacterium. RNAcentral's name for it is "partial 16S ribosomal RNA". It matches the Rfam family "Bacterial small subunit ribosomal RNA", at positions 258 to 353 of the family's 1533-position model. The record is from RNAcentral.